Gallus gallus (chicken) is the source of this 820-nucleotide long non-coding RNA. RefSeq lists it as uncharacterized. The record is from RefSeq and is a predicted model, not a curated record. NCBI's taxonomy places the organism in Eukaryota, Metazoa, Chordata, Aves, Galliformes, Phasianidae. The transcript has 4 exons.
CUACUUUCCUGAGAGAACUGAAGUUUGAGAGUAGAAGGCAUGCCCUUAGGUGGGAACAAGGACAGCAUGAAAUGAAACAGGAAAGGAAGGUUCUUCUAAGGAGGCUUUCACAGUACAGUCACUCCUGGAAGGUUCUCCACCAGCCUCAAACUUGUGAAGCAGAGGAUGAAGUCCCAGACACUGGCAUCAGAAAGAAAAGCCUCUUGGCUGAAGAGCACAAUGGUGGAGUAGAAGCAAGAGGACAUCCUCUGGUCAUGCGGGAAGCUCUCAUGUCUACACAGCCUGAAUCCUCACCAUGAAAAGCUUUGAGGAGAAAGGGAGAGACUGGGGCAGAGAAAAAUGGACACAGCCUCCCAUGAGUACAGCAAAUGCCUCCACAGACUCUUUCAAAGCUCCAUAUUCACUGAUAUACACUCAGCGUCCCUCUUUUGUAUGACCUCUUGAAGUUAUCCCCACUUUGAUUUUCCGUGAUCAUAACCCAAACUUUUCCUUCUUUCUUUCUUUUUUUUUUUUUUUGUUGUUUUGUUUUGGUUUUGUUUUGUUUUUGGUUUCUUUGUGGAGUGAAAAGGAGGCUGACCUUCUUAAAACAGAGGAACAUUUCAGAGUUAUCCAACACAUGAAAUUAUACUUCCAAAAAUCAGAGAUGUUCUCCAGUACUCAUUAAAGCUAGCCAGAAAUGGAACUAAUAUAAACCUUGGCCAUUCUCCCAGCUGAGUGCCCUAAUAAUAGAAAUGCCCCUCUGACUGAGUAGCUGAUACUGGGGUUCUGCCAAGUCAUUUCCAUUAAAAAGAGCCAUUGGUGACAGACGUCCAGUACAAUA